This 442-nucleotide ribosomal RNA is filed under the name uncultured bacterium. RNAcentral's name for it is "partial 16S ribosomal RNA". It matches the Rfam family "Bacterial small subunit ribosomal RNA", at positions 338 to 795 of the family's 1533-position model. The record is from RNAcentral.
CCUACGGGCGGCAGCAGUAGGGAAUAUUUCACAAUGGGCGAAAGCCUGAUGGAGCAACGCCGCGUGCAGGAUGAAGGCCUUCGGGUUGUAAACUGCUUUUAUAAGGGAGAAAGAUGAUGGUAACUUAAGAAUAAGGAACGGAUAACAACGGGCCAGCAGCCGCGGUCAAACGUAGGAGCCGAGCAUUAUCCGGCGUGACUGGGUGUAAAGAGGUGCGUAGGUGGCCUAGUUAGUAGCUAGUGAAAUCUGGUGGCUCAACCCUUCCGACUAUUAGCUAAACUGCUAAGCUCGAGACCGUUAGAGGUAACUGGAAUUUCUAGUGUAGGGGUGAAAUCCGUAGAUAUUAGCAGGAACACCGAUCGCGUAGGCAGCUUACUGGGCCGGUUCUGACACUCAGGCACGAAAGCGUCGGGAGCAAACAGGAUUAGAUACCCUAGUAGUC